CACCUAACGACACAAAGUCUCACA
RNAcentral lists this non-coding RNA (24 nucleotides) under Arabidopsis thaliana (thale cress). The record is from RNAcentral. Lineage: Eukaryota; Viridiplantae; Streptophyta; Magnoliopsida; Brassicales; Brassicaceae.